This 505-nucleotide ribosomal RNA is filed under the name uncultured bacterium. Its description in RNAcentral is "partial 16S ribosomal RNA". It matches the Rfam family "Bacterial small subunit ribosomal RNA", at positions 28 to 507 of the family's 1533-position model. The record is from RNAcentral.
GACGAACGCUGGCGGCGUGCCUAAUACAUGCAAGUAGAACGCACAGUUUAUACCGUAGCUUGCUACACCAUAGACUGUGAGUUGCGAACGGGUGAGUAACGCGUAGGUAACCUGCCUGGUAGCGGGGGAUAACUAUUGGAAACGAUAGCUAAUACCGCAUAAUAUUAAUUAUUGCAUGAUAAUUAAUUGAAAGGUGCAAUUGCACCACUACCAGAUGGACCUGCGUUGUAUUAGCUAGUAGGUGAGGUAACGGCUCACCUAGGCAACGAUACAUAGCCGACCUGAGAGGGUGAUCGGCCACACUGGGACUGAGACACGGCCCAGACUCCUACGGGAGGCAGCAGUAGGGAAUCUUCGGCAAUGGACGAAAGUCUGACCGAGCAACGCCGCGUGAGUGAAGAAGGGUUUCGGAUCGUAAAGCUCUGUUGUAAGAGAAGAACGGGCGUGAGAGUGGAAAGUUCACACUGUGACGGUAUCUUACCAGAAAGGGACGGCUAACUACGUG